This 406-nucleotide ribosomal RNA is filed under the name uncultured bacterium. Its description in RNAcentral is "partial 16S ribosomal RNA". It matches the Rfam family "Bacterial small subunit ribosomal RNA", at positions 30 to 526 of the family's 1533-position model. The record is from RNAcentral.
AUUGAACGCUGGCGGCAGGCCUUACACAUGCAAGUCGAACGAGUGGCGGACGGGUGAGUAAUAUCUGGGAAACUGCCCGAUGGAGGGGGAUAACUACUGGAAACGGUGGCUAAUACCGCAUACCAUCGGAUCUGCCCAGAUGGGAUUAGCUAGUAGGUGGGGUAACGGCUCACCUAGGCGACGAUCCCUAGCUGGUCUGAGAGGAUGACCAGCCACACUGGGACUGAGACACGGCCCAGACUCCUACGGGAGGCAGCAGUGGGGAAUUUUGGACAAUGGGGGAAAGCCUGAUGCAGCCAUGCCGCGUGUAUGAAGAAGGCCUUCGGGUUGUAAAGUACUUUCAGCGGGGAGGCGUUACCUGCAGAAUAAGCACCGGCUAACUCCGUGCCAGCAGCCGCGGUAAUUC